GUCUAUACAUGCAGUCGAGCGAACUGAUUAGAAGCUUGCUUCUAUGACGUUAGCGGCGGACGGGUGAGUAACACGUGGGCAACCUGCCUGUAAGACUGGGAUAACUUCGGGAAACCGAAGCUAAUACCGGAUAGGAUCUUCUCCUUCAUGGGAGAUGAUUGAAAGAUGGUUUCGGCUAUCACUUACAGAUGGGCCCGCGGUGCAUUAGCUAGUUGGUGAGGUAACGGCUCACCAAGGCAACGAUGCAUAGCCGACCUGAGAGGGUGAUCGGCCACACUGGGACUGAGACACGGCCCAGACUCCUACGGGAGGCAGCAGUAGGGAAUCUUCCGCAAUGGACGAAAGUCUGACGGAGCAACGCCGCGUGAGUGAUGAAGGCUUUCGGGUCGUAAAACUCUGUUGUUAGGGAAGAACAAGUACGAGAGUAACUGCUCGUACCUUGACGGUACCUAACCAGAAAGCCACGGCUAACUACGUGCCAGCAGCCGCGGUAAUACGUAGGUGGCAAGCGUUAUCCGGAAUUAUUGGGCGUAAAGCGCGCGCAGGCGGUUUCUUAAGUCUGAUGUGAAAGCCCACGGCUCAACCGUGGAGGGUCAUUGGAAACUGGGGAACUUGAGUGCAGAAGAGAAAAGCGGAAUUCCACGUGUAGCGGUGAAAUGC
This 660-nucleotide ribosomal RNA is filed under the name Bacillus sp. JSM 081022. RNAcentral's name for it is "bacterial SSU rRNA". It matches the Rfam family "Bacterial small subunit ribosomal RNA", at positions 46 to 689 of the family's 1533-position model. Lineage: Bacteria; Bacillati; Bacillota; Bacilli; Caryophanales; Bacillaceae. The record is from RNAcentral.